This 315-nucleotide ribosomal RNA is filed under the name uncultured eukaryote. Its description in RNAcentral is "partial 18S ribosomal RNA". It matches the Rfam family "Eukaryotic small subunit ribosomal RNA", at positions 1470 to 1796 of the family's 1831-position model. The record is from RNAcentral.
CCCUUAGACGUUCUGGGCCGCACGCGCGCUACACUGACCAGUGCAACAAGCAUCCGUCCUUGGCCGACAGGCUCGGGCAAUCUUUGAACGCUGGUCGUGAUGGGGAUAGACUUUUGCAAUUUUUGGUCUUCAACGAGGAAUUCCUAGUAAACGCGAGUCAUCAACUUGCAUUGAUUACGUCCCUGCCCUUUGUACACACCGCCCGUCGCACCUACCGAUUGAAUGGUCCGGUGAAGCCUCCGGAUUGGCGCGCACCUCGGUGCCGCCGAGAAGUUGGCUAAACCUUACCAUUUAGAGGAAGGUGAAGUCGUAACA